AAACAGAUAAAUCCGUACAGAUAAAUCCGGACGAAGAGAACAACAAUAAUACAGGCAGCUCUAUUUAAUAAGUUCACGAUGACCGCAGCAGCCUCCGAGAUAAAGAACAGUAUGGGCUACGGCCUGGCCUGGUCUUAUUACUACGGCUAUCUGAAACUGAUUUUACCCGGUCUAGCUGACAGAGUAAAGACGUCAACUUUUUGGGACGCUAGGAACCAACGCAUCUCCCCCAAACUGUUCAUCCUGCUGCCCACCUCGUGUUUUGCGCACCCCACCCUCACAGACGGGGACUCAGCGGUCGAACCCGGGGCGCACCUCGCCGAGUUCAAGGCCAACCGGUCAGGAAAUCCGCAGAGAGUGUACAGAAAUUUUGUCUAUAAAGUGUCCUCGGAAGAUG
Long non-coding RNA from Lingula anatina, 397 nucleotides. Lineage: Eukaryota; Metazoa; Brachiopoda; Lingulata; Lingulida; Lingulidae. The record is from RefSeq and is a predicted model, not a curated record.